AGCAGCCGCGGUAAUUCCAGCUCCAAUAGCGUAUAUUAAAGUUGUUGCAGUUAAAAAGCUCGUAGUUGAAUUUCGGGGUCAGUAGGUUGGUCAUGCCUCCGGUAUGUACUGGUCUCACUGAUUCCUCCUUCCUGAUGAGCCGUAAUGCCAUUAAUUUGGUGUUGCGGGGAAUCUGGACUGUUACUUUGAAAAAAAUUAGAGUGUUUAAAGCAAGCUAACGCUUGAAUACAUUAGCAUGGAAUAAUGGAAUAGGACGUUCGAUCCUAUUUUGUUGGUUUCUAGGAUUGACGUAAUGAUUAAUAGGGAUAGUUGGGGGCAUUAGUAUUCAAUUGUCAGAGGUGAAAUUCUUGGAUUUAUUGAAGACUAACUACUGCGAAAGCAUUUGCCAAGGAUGUUUUCAUUAAUCAAAGAACGAAAGUUAGGGGAUCGAAGACGAUCAGAUACCGUCGUAGUCUUAACCAUAAACUAUGCCGACUAGGGAUCGGAUGAUGUUAAUUUUUUAAUGACUCAUUCGGCGCCG
Molecule: ribosomal RNA, 520 nt
Filed under: uncultured Glomus
Lineage: Eukaryota; Fungi; Glomeromycota; Glomeromycetes; Glomerales; Glomeraceae
Description: SSU rRNA
Rfam family: Eukaryotic small subunit ribosomal RNA
Source: RNAcentral